CUUUUCCUGCAAGAGAAAGUGUGAUGAGAACUUCUUUUGCAGUUAAUGUUUUCAUGAAAGUCUUCAUUUGAUAUCUGAAUCACAUUCACGUGUGAAAAUGGUUCAUGGACUGUCCUGAAAUGCCAACUGUCUGUCAAUGUCAUCCAUCAAGGGUUGAACAAGGACUCACUCUGACAGACAUCUGUGCCUUAAAGCACACCCAUGGGUUAUGCCAUACCACGAUAUCCUUCUCCAUGAAUCAAAUCUCUGAGCAACUACCUCGCUUAGAAGCUACUUUUGGAGAGCAGAGUUCAGAAAGAAGCAGUUUUCCUUCUCCAGGAAGGCUGGGUGGCACAUCCUACAGAGUAUGAGACAGUGA
This is a long non-coding RNA of Myiozetetes cayanensis, 358 nucleotides long. RefSeq lists it as uncharacterized. The transcript has 4 exons. The record is from RefSeq and is a predicted model, not a curated record. NCBI's taxonomy places the organism in Eukaryota, Metazoa, Chordata, Aves, Passeriformes, Tyrannidae.